GACCCGGGACUGGAGCGGGGAUGGGGAGUGAAGCUCCAGCCACCGUGGCGGCAGCAGCGGCGGCGACGCCGUGAGGAGCAGCCAGGGGGAGGCAGCUGCCGCUCGUCGUUGGUUUCCACCUGGCUGAAGGACAGAAUCAGAAUCCUGAUGCCACUACUGAAAACGUGAACGUGUUGGCAGCAAAAAUUGCUGUUUUGUCAUCCAGUUGCACCAUCCAAGCAUACAUAACAUGGAAUUUAUUUAAUGCCCAGCUUCAGUGGUGGAUGGAAGAAGACAUUCCUCUUCAGGCUCCAAGUGUGAAGAAGAAGCAACGGACUAAAUGCAAGUCUUCUAGAAAAGGAACAGAAAAUGGAGUGGCAACUUCAGAUAGAGUAGACUCUCCCCAUAAGAGGAAAGAAAAAUCUUCAUGAUGAAUUUCAAGUUAAUUGAUUAAUGUCUCCAAAGAAGUCUACUCUUUCCUGUAACUUUCUUCGCUGAAGACUUUUCUGUUCUUGAAACUAGUUUGUGCAGGUUUUGAUUUUUGCUAUAGUACUGUGUAAUGUAUUUUUUUACAGACAUUUGAAGGAAGGAUGAUUAUUUUGAAUGGAAAAAAUGGCUUAGAAUAAGCUACUCAUCCUCAAAAUGGUUUAGGGAUCGCCACAAUAUUUUUUUUUCAACUUUGAAUAUUUUCUUAGUGAUUUCCAUGUGUCAGUGACACUGUUCUUGCUCCACCAAUCUUUUAUAACAUUAACAAGAUGGUAUGUUAUAGCAAUGACGUAUUUUUAAUGUUCUCUUUCAGGAUAAAAUAAAAAUAUUAUAAAGGUAGAAAUUAACUUCGUUAAGUUUUUGGUAUUCUCUAUCUUAGAAUUUUUAAUGAAUUUACAACUGGAGAACAGAUUUGUAAAACCACCAAAAUAAUGAUGUGUUUUAUAGUUAGUGGUUGUUAGUGUUACAUCCCAUUAAAAAGCCAAGAUACUAAUGGUUAACAUAUGUGGAGACCUGUUGCCCUAUAUCAAUCAAAAUAUCUUGAAUUAGUAUAAAAUUAUUACUAAGAAGUAAAACACUGCUUGUCCAUUUUAAACGCUUGUAAACUGGAAAUCAGAAAAUUAAAUACUGUAAAAAGGAAAUCAGACAAAUAGCUUUUUUUGAUAUGUGUAUUAAAAAUUAUUCUUAAUGAGGUUUGUUAUAAAUUUGGUAUCCAUAGCAAUUUAGAAGAAUAUUGUUUAACCUGUAAAUCAUUUUGAAAAAAUAAUACUUAUUUAUAUCUAUGAAAAAUGUCAGCUAAUUACAGGUGGAAAACAGUUAAUGCACUAAUGUUAAAUAAUUUGAAAAUCAUAUUCUUAUGAAAGGCUUUUCAAAGUAAUGUUAUAAUUAUAGCUUUGCUUCCACCCUUCAUUGGGAAACAUAUUUUGGAGAUACAUACAUAUAUAUACAUAUGUGUAUAUAUACCUUGUAUCUUCACAGAAGUCAAUAGAAACAAUGAACUAUAGUGAGUGAGUACUUAUUGUCUUCUCUCAGCCUUCAGUUUGAUUUUAUUUCCAUAGUGUGAGUGCUUAUAUUUUUUUUUUCAGGAGAAAAUGCUUUAAAAUGUGCUAGGAUAAGGCCAUGUGUUUCUUGUUCCUCUCUAUUUUCUCCUACUGUGUCUCUCAUCUCUCUGCUUUUGCUACCCUUUUAUUUGUUGUAAGUAAUUCAACUUUUCCUAUCAUGGGGGUCCCUGCAGAUUAAACUUAGUAUAGGUAUAUUGUACACCAAAUAUGGAAAUGCCACUCUUGGUAAGAAUUAUUUUCUAUUCUUUCUAUUUUGAGAGGUUUAUAGCAAAGCAAGAUUAUUUCUGUUUGUCUACAGAAUCCAUCAUCCUACUUUUUUUUUUUCCUCAAUUGCCUAAUACUGUAGUUUUGGUAGCACAUCUUCUAGGUCAAAGUACAAUGACUCCACUUUAACCAACCACUGUGAAAUUAUAAAACAAAGAUUUUCAACUUCUUAUAAGAAGGUGGUGGUCUUUCUCGCUUCUCUCACAUUUAAAGAAUUCUCCCCAUCACUUGUAACCCCACUCCUCCUGGUAACAGGUUUCUUAUCCAUUAUAUGUGUAAUUCAUGUGCCAGUAAGUGCAGACUUGAUUCAAAUGAUUGUAGGAGAAGCAUUUCCUCACAUGAUUGACAAUGCUAAAAGUUAAGUUGGGAUUGACAUUAAAUAUGGUUAGGGUCCAGGUCAGUUUCCCUGGGAUUGUCUGGGCUCUGCUCCUCUCAGGUUGACUGUCCACUUGACAGCAAAUGACUACAGCUGUCAAAGGUUUCCUUCUGUGUGCUGCAUAUGUGGUCAAGAGGACAAGAGGAAACCUGAUUUCUAGAAAUUCCCAGAACACUGAGAAUUAGGUUUAGUUUAGUGAACUUACAUGAUAUAAGCGUGUACUGGGCCGAUUAGUUAAAUCAGAUUAGAUGCUGCACGUGUGCAAAAAGGUAAAGCCCCUUAUAUGAAUUCACAGAAAUGAGCAAGGCAGUUAAGGAAAAAAGGAGAAGGAUGCUGGGUACAUCUCAACUAUUCAUAAGAGUUCAAUAACUGUUUCCAGAAAACUAAUGUAUGCCAUGUAAAUUAUGAAAGCAAUACUACAAAUGAAAUUCAGCACAAAUUGCUGGGUCUCUCCUUUUUAAAAAUUACAUUCUGAAAACACAUGCUAUAAUAAAUCUGUGUGAUAAUUUGAUUUUUGUGUAAAUCAUUGUUCAGGGUAUUAUUAAAGCAGACAUUGGUUAACUCUGUGAAGGUCAAAUAACCAGUUAAUCACCAAAUGUUGCAGAAAUGGUAAAGAUAUGUCUGAUAUUUGAAUUUGAAGAUUCUGCUCUGAUUUAUUGGCUUCAAUAUUUCCAAGCUUUAUUCUUUAAAUAAGUCUAUAGGUAUAGAUUUUCUGGGAUGGGUUUAGAGUGGGCUUUCUUCAAAAAUUGUUCUGCUAGCAUCUUAAAGUGUGUCUCAUUUUUUCUUAACAAAUAGUAGAAAUGUGUUAGUAAACCUACAUAUCUUGUAAGAAAAAGCUAGUUAUUUUCCUAUCGAUGGUAUUGUCCUUGAUUUCAUUUCAAUAAGAAAACAACAACCUGUAGAUAUUUCUUCAUUUAUCUCUCUCAUCACUAUUUAACUAUCAGUAGAGGAAAUACACUGUAUUAACUCAGAAUAAAUUCAAGAAGGUUGGAGUUACAAUAUUAAUAGUUUAAAGCUUUCUUGAUGAUAUAAAACUAUUCUGAUAUCCUUUUAAUUUGAAAAAACAUGAGUAAAGUUU
Molecule: long non-coding RNA, 3244 nt
Filed under: Sus scrofa (pig)
Lineage: Eukaryota; Metazoa; Chordata; Mammalia; Artiodactyla; Suidae
Description: lncRNA (ENSSSCG00030011355.1)
Source: RNAcentral